CCCUUAGAUGUUCUGGGCCGCACGCGCGCUACACUGAUGCAUUCAACGAGCCUAGCCUUGACCGAGAGGUCCGGGUAAUCUUUGAAACUGCAUCGUGAUGGGGCUAGAUUAUUGCAAUUAUUAAUCUUCAACGAGGAAUGCCUAGUAAGCGUGAUUCAUCAAAUCGCGUUGAUUACGUCCCUGCCCAUUGUACACACCGCCCGUCGCUCCUACCGAUUGAGUGUGUUGGUGAGGAGUUUGGAUUGGCCUCGGAAGGUGGUUCGCCACCGUCCGUAGCUGAGAAGUUCUCCAAACCGCCCCACUUAGAGGAAGGAGAAGUCGUAACA
This 326-nucleotide ribosomal RNA is filed under the name uncultured eukaryote. RNAcentral describes it as "partial 18S ribosomal RNA". It matches the Rfam family "Eukaryotic small subunit ribosomal RNA", at positions 1470 to 1796 of the family's 1831-position model. The record is from RNAcentral.